UGGGGAAUUUUGGACAAUGGGCGAAAGCCUGAUCCAGCAAUGCCGCGUGUGUGAAGAAGGCCUUCGGGUUGUAAAGCACUUUUGUCCGGAAAGAAAUCCUUGGCUCUAAUACAGUCGGGGGAUGACGGUACCGGAAGAAUAAGCACCGGCUAACUACGUGCCAGCAGCCGCGGUAAUACGUAGGGUGCAAGCGUUAAUCGGAAUUACUGGGCGUAAAGCGUGCGCAGGCGGUUUGCUAAGACCGAUGUGAAAUCCCCGGGCUCAACCUGGGAACUGCAUUGGUGACUGGCAGGCUAGAGUAUGGCAGAGGGGGGUAGAAUUCCACGUGUAGCAGUGAAAUGCGUAGAGAUGUGGAGGAAUACCGAUGGCGAAGGCAGCCCCCUGGGCCAAUACUGACGCUCAUGCACGAAAGCGUGGGGAGCAAACAGGAUUAGAUACCCUGGUAGUCCACGCCCUAAACGAUGUCAACUAGUUGUUGGGGAUUCAUUUCCUUAGUAACGUAGCUAACGCGUGAAGUUGACCGCCUGGGGAGUACGGUCCGCAAGAUUAAAACUCAAAGGAAUUGACGGGGUCAUAGCUGUUUCCU
RNAcentral lists this ribosomal RNA (586 nucleotides) under uncultured bacterium. Its description in RNAcentral is "partial 16S ribosomal RNA". It matches the Rfam family "Bacterial small subunit ribosomal RNA", at positions 355 to 1375 of the family's 1533-position model. The record is from RNAcentral.